GAUGAACGCUGGCGGCGUGCUUAACACAUGCAAGUCGAACGAUGAAGCCCCGCUUGCUGGGUGGAUUAGUGGCGAACGGGUGAGUAACACGUGAGUAACCUGCCCUUAACUCUGGGAUAAGCCUGGGAAACUGGGUCUAAUACCGGAUAGGAGCGUCUACCGCAUGGUGGGGGUUGGAAAGAUUUAUCGGUUUUGGAUGGACUCGCGGCCUAUCAGCUUGUUGGUGAGGUAAUGGCUCACCAAGGCGACGACGGGUAGCCGGCCUGGGAGGGUGACCGGCCACACUGGGACUGGGACACGGCCCAGACUCCUACGGGAGGCAGCAGUGGGGAAUAUUGCACAAUGGGCGCAAGCCUGAUGCAGCGACGCCGCGUGAGGGAUGACGGCCUUCGGGUUGUAAACCUCUUUCAGUAGGGAAGAAGCGAGAGUGACGGUACCUGCAGAAGAAGCACCGGCUAACUACGUG
RNAcentral lists this ribosomal RNA (466 nucleotides) under uncultured bacterium. RNAcentral's name for it is "partial 16S ribosomal RNA". It matches the Rfam family "Bacterial small subunit ribosomal RNA", at positions 28 to 507 of the family's 1533-position model. The record is from RNAcentral.